This 372-nucleotide long non-coding RNA is filed under the name Homo sapiens (human). Its description in RNAcentral is "HSALNT0046508". The record is from RNAcentral. Lineage: Eukaryota; Metazoa; Chordata; Mammalia; Primates; Hominidae.
GAUUUCCAGAGGAGUCAUCAGAACUGAGCGUGAAGAAGGGCUGUGUGUGACCCAAUGGAGGAUGCUGAAGAGGGCAUUCGAAGCAGAGAAGAACAUGUGCAAAGCAGGAGACGGGCAGAACAGGAGGGAUUCUAAAACAGCAGGUGUGCUGCAGAGGAAGAAGGGUGGCUGCAAACCCUGAGGAGGAAAAGGAUUAAGUUUAAAAAAAAUACACAGGAAGGAAUAAGAAGGAGAGAUACCAUAAAGAAAAUAUUAACAGGACCUGAUCACUGAGCGGUUUGGAAGGUAACAUUGGAACAUACAGGUGGCAGGUAGGGGAGAAUUUGGAGACUUUUGAAAAGAAUGUGAAAUUGGAGAGUGGGGCUCAGGUAA